RNAcentral lists this long non-coding RNA (1260 nucleotides) under Zostera marina. Its description in RNAcentral is "long non-coding RNA (ZMAR_LNC004159)". The record is from RNAcentral. Lineage: Eukaryota; Viridiplantae; Streptophyta; Magnoliopsida; Alismatales; Zosteraceae.
UUUCUGUAUUGAACUCCUCAGGCAUACAUUUGAUCAGAAAAGAAUGAAGCAGCCUCUGUACCGCCACCCUUGGGAAGAUGUUCUCUAUACCAAGUAAUUAAACUAUUUAUUGAAACCAAUAACGUUAUAUUUUCCCUUCUGCAUUAUUGCUACAGACAAUUUUAGCUUUGCCCACUAUAAGUUAAAAUAGCACAUUCUAGAAAGCAAAUUCUGGGUAGAUUUUGGCAAGUAUCGACCUUUGCUUUUGUUUUGAUUUCACUGGAUGCCUUUAAUAUUUAUUCGUAAUUUUAUUCAAUUUACUUGGUUCAAAUAAAAGUAUAAAACUAAGUAUUGUUGUAUUUUAGUUAUUAAUUAGUGUUUGAGUUGAAACGUUAAAUAAAUUGGGUAGAAAGUAGAAUUCAGGAGUCAAUGGUAAUUAAUUAGUCAAAUACUCAAAUUUAGUUAGCAAGGAUUGAAUUGUUUAGGCUCUAUUUAAACAUGUAAGAUCAUGCAGAACUAACCUCAGGUGAGAUUCAAUUUAAGAUUUCAGCGCGCCCUCUUUUAUUUAUCGAAAUCUUCUCCAUUUUAAAAUUAAAUAACAAUUAAUAUUGAGAAUCUUUGAAUCAAAAAUCAAAAGUGCGAUCAUUAGAUAUCUUACAAUACAUAUCUCAGUAGAAGCUUGCCCAGCCCAAAUUCACUCGGCUAAGAACUCAGAAGUAUAAAUAUUUUUAACAAUAUAAGAUAUCAUAUUUCAGAUAUUCAUAAGAUAUCUCUAUUAAUUCUCUACCGUCUAUGUAUUUUCAUUAAAAUUUAAUGAUACAUAGAGUCAUAGAGAUUGUGUCAAACUUAUAAUUAAAAAAUAAAAAUGAUUAAAUAAUCUCUUACGAUCCUUGAAUUCCUCUUAGAUCGAGCUAAGUUGAUUGAUAAACGCUGAAAGCAUCCUCCUUAAUUUCUCUCGAUUGACAGACCAUUUACAUUUUGACAAAUAGAUUCAUGUGAAUAUGCCAUGAUUGAUGGGUAGUAAAUCAAACAAAUAAUCGACCAUAAGAAAACGAAGCUACACCUACCCUUACAUUUAUUGAUAACAUACGCUUAAAUAAAGUCAAAUACUUACGAUAAUAAUAUAUAUAUAACCAGAUAAAACAACGCGUACGUGUCUUACACACUUCAAACUUAUCUUAUCCAAAAUCAAAUUCAGAGUUCACACGUCCAAUUUUCAAUAAUCUUCCGGAUUUCUUGUGGACCGCUAGCUGUACAAACAACGAAGUCGAUCGAUUAUCA